UGUAAAAACCUGAACAGGCAGGAACCACAAGGCAAGAGUGGAUUCUUUCUUUCUCUGCUCUGGACAAGUUACGGGUGUGAACACAAAGCCAAAGUGGCGUACUUUCCUGAUAAAGCUGCUCCUGUUCACAGGUCAUUUUUUUGAGGUCGAGCAACAGCAGGAGACCCCUUCACCUGUAACAGGAUCCACAUUUCACCCUGCUGCAGUUUGGCAGAUGGCUCUAAAUACUACAACACCCAUGUGCCUUGGCUCCGACUGGCAUGAAGAGAAGUGUGAACUUUAUUGUGAGCUUUAGCAAAGCCGGGACACUGGGUCGUACCUCUCCACAUACCACUCCUCAUCCACAUGAUGAAGGAUCCUUGGAUGAGACACUGAAGCACAGAUUGCUUCUGCGGUCAGGAGAUUCUUGCCCAUCCAACCCUUGAAGUGCUCCUCCUGUCAGUAACCCAAAGCCAGGAUGCAUCAAGCAAGAACACACACACAGCUCUUUAAAGUUUAAAACCUAAUUAAUGCAUCAGUGAUUCAGAAAAUCUGCAGUCAGGCUCACAUCACAACAAGGUAAACGAUCUUUGGCAGAAUAAAUUGACUUCACUUUAGUGUAUUUAGAAUUUUCUUGAAUCAGCAUCUAGUUGACAUUAGAGGAACUGCAGCUGAACAAACUUGAGUUCUAACUCAGAUGGGGAGGAUUCUGGUUUGUUAAACCUGACCAAAAGGAAUAGAAGAAAUGCAUUCUCUGAAAUGUAUACAAUAGAUUUUAUUUUGCAACUUUCUUAUUUCAUCUAUCUCUCUCCGCUUUCCUCCUCCACUUCCUCUUCACUUUCCUUCUAUUCUGACUACUCUAUUCUAUUUCUCUCGACCUUGCUUCUCCACUUUCUCCAUCUGUCUCAUAUUCACCAACACUCACAGGCAGGCUUCUUGCUUUCAGUUUAACCAGAUAAGAAUCAGAACUGGACUCUAUUUUUAUAAAGACACAUAAACAGAAAGCAGAGUGAGCCAUUGAUGAAAUCUGUACUGCUGUACUGUACUGCAGUCUGUAUAUCUGUCAACAUGGAACCAUCUGGAUUAACAGACAGAACCCAAACUUAAUCCUUCACUUACAUACAAUAUUUCACAUUUACAAACACUUCAGUUUGUCCAGCCUGUAAUGGUUGCUUCUAAGGCUCACAUCACAACAUGAUGUAGUAAUAACCCUUCCAGUGUUAUUUGUUGAAGCACCCUUGUGUGCAGUGGAAUAAACAGGAGAUUCGGGUUUGAAUCCUCUGCAUGGCCAAAUGUUAAAGUUGGUUUGACUUUAACUUGCAUUACCAAACCAAAGCAUGAUCUUUUCUUAAAAUCAUCCAAGUAGGUUUUCUUCCUAACAAACUAACAAAACUAUGACCAUUUCACAACAUUAACGGCCCAGAAGUCAUAAUAUUUGAUAAUAUGAGAAAUGUUUCUCAGCAAGUUUUAUUUUGAAAGGCUAACAGACCAUUGCAUAUUUAUUAUUGUUAACUUGACAUUGGAUGAUAUGAUGAUGAUGGAGGUUCUUCAUGAGUUGUGUCACACUGAGACCGAUGUUCACAGUGUUGUCCUCCAGCGCUGCUCUUCUUUGUUGUCAUGACAACACAGCUGUCCAGGAUCACGGUGCAGCAGGGAGAAGUUUUGAACAAAGUUAAAUCAUCAACAUGCAAUAUUUCAGGUAACAUAUUGAAAUACAAAGCUCAAACAUGAAAAAAAUAAAUUGAGAAUAUAAAAAUAUUUCAAUAAAUUUCAGCAACUGACCUACCUGUGAUUGUAGCACACUCACUUGUUUUUAACCCAGUUGGGCAAUUCUGAAAAAGCAGGACCUCAAAUGUCAGUAUGUGAAUUCCACACUGUGUGCUAAAGGUGACAGAAACUAAGCUUUGUUUGAAUUGCUGCAUCUGUCAUACAUGCAUAUAGGAUUUUGUUGUAGAAGUAUUUAUAGUUGUCACAGACAAAACUUUGACUUCCUCUUUUGAAACUGAAUGAAGGUCAUUUUUAAGAAAAAAAGGAUAAGGUGAAUCUUCACUUCCUGUCACACAUAUGCUAAGGACAUUUGACGUUUUUUAGAUUUAGCCAGUUUGUUGGUGAUGUAGAUUCAAUCUUACUUUGUCGCUUCUUUGAUAUUGAGUGUGCGAUGAAAAAGUGGGGUAUGUUUAUAUCGUGGCUCUUUGGGUCUUCAGCCGCAUCUGCAGUACAGAGUUAAAAUUUUACUUCAUUGCUAAAUACUGAUAUUGAGAUACACAUUUUGUCUUUUGUUUCAUUCAAAUGAUAAGAUAUUAUAAUAUAUAUAACUAUAAUUUGUUAUACUAUUAGCAUUAAAAUACCAGUACUUUAAAGUUCAGUAAUCAUAUCAAAAUAAGAUUGUUUGUGAUAAAAUACUAAAUCUUCUAUAAAGCCAAAGUUCUCAAAUGUCAAAUUUUGUCUAAAUUCAACUUUAGACAGAACUCUGGAAAAAUUAUCUUUUAAAAUUUAUACAAUAAAAUAGUAAAUAAAUCAGAUAAAUUGAUGAGGACAUUUGAUGUCAACUUUCAUUUGGAACAGAGAGCACUGAGCUAUAAUACCCAAACCUAUUAAUAUGAAAAGAAGAACAACUCAACUCACUGUCACUAACACACACUAGCACAGACAACAAAAGUUGUAUGCUCUUAUUAUCAGGUUUAAGUCUUCUUUGUUCCUUCUGAACAAACAGCUGAUGAAAUCCAUCAUGUAUUUAGCAGCUGAACAGUCUGGCUCCUCUACUGAGUAUCAGCUAAUGAAACCUCUCUGCUGCCUCCUCCUGCUCCAUUUACAUGUUUGUUUUGGUUUCUGUUGUUGUUCUGAUGUUUUUUAGAUUUAACCAGUUUAUUGUAGAUGUAGACUCAGUCUUACUUCGCGGCCUCACUACUCCUGAGGGUCCGAUGAUCCUGUGGUGUAGGUUUAUACCUUGGCUCUUUGGGUCUUCAGCCACAUCUGCAGUACAGAGUUAAAAUUUUACUUCAUUGCUAAAUACUAACAUUGAGAUACACCUUCUUCUUUAUUUACCCUGUGUCAGACUUGAAGUCUGUGCGACGGUGCUCAGUAAGAGUAAGAAGAUCACAGUCUUCAUGGUUCUGCAAGAUAAGAAGCAUACAAACACCAAACACCAUGGAUGGCUGAGCUGGUACAGUACAGAGAGCAGACAGAGUUAGUCUUAUUGCUUAGAGUAACUUAAAUAGAAGACAACAUUGUAAGAUUACACAGUUGUUUCAGCUGAUAUCACUGUGAUUUGAUAUUAAUAUUUAGGUAGGAUAGAGUUUUAAUGGUACUGAGAGCCCAGCGUCAUUCCAAGAGUGUCAAAUACCAGCUUCUCAACAUCUCUCAGCAUUUCAUUCAUCUUUUCCCACACCUAACCAUUCUGUGCCUUAACUUAACCAAAAUAGCUUUUCAUGUGAAGCACCAGUCCAGGGUGUACCCCGCCUCUCGCCCAUAGUCAGCUGGGAUAGGCUCCAGCUCCCCCGCGACCCUGACGGAUAAGCGGUAUAGAAAAUGGAUGGAUGGAUGUCAAGCACAUGCUAAGCCUUUCCGCGUCAGCUACAGAAGUCAUAGGACAUCUUGCGUGUCUGGUUGUAAUGCACAAGGAAGUGAUAGAAUGUAGAUAUUCAGUGAGCUGUGUUGGGAACGUGUUGGUAUUGACAUGCGCAAUUGAUCUGGCAUAUGUGUAAGGUCUGCUCUGCUGCCACACACAGUACAACAGAUGGUUGAUAUGCACUCAGAAAGUCAAUUUUACAGUAUCAUCAGUUAUGUUCACAGAUUCUCAGAUUCUCUCAUCAAGAAGAAUAAGUUCAAUUUAAGUCUAUACUGUCUCUUGCAACUUGUUUUCUACACUAAAAACACACCAAUGCUAAAUGAGCAGUUGAGCUGAGUUGAGAGUACAGAGGGCAGGAGUAGAGAAUGAUGUCUUAACUCACCUUCAGUAGCUGCACUCUGCUUCUCUGACCUGAAUGUCUCACACCAAUCUAGCUGCUCUUUAUUUAUAUUAUUCUGAUCAUUGAAAUGCCAAUGUGUGUGUGUGAGUGUGUGCGUGUGUGUGUGUUAUUAAGGAUAGUCUCAGGUGAAAUUCCUUAGGCUAUAAGGAUCACACAUGCUUAAUAGUUAAUUGAAUAAUUGCUGUUUAAUAUGUGAUUAAGAGUUGGAAAAUAAAUUAAAUUCUUCCUUCUCACUGUU
Molecule: long non-coding RNA, 4185 nt
Organism: Scatophagus argus
Lineage: Eukaryota; Metazoa; Chordata; Actinopteri; Scatophagidae
Exons: 4
Source: RefSeq, a predicted model, not a curated record